UGGGGAAUAUUGCACAAUGGGCGCAAGCCUGAUGCAGCCAUGCCGCGUGUGUGAAGAAGGCCUUCGGGUUGUAAAGCACUUUCAGCGAGGAGGAAGGCAGUCGUGUUAAUAGCACGAUUGAUUGACGUUACUCGCAGAAGAAGCACCGGCUAACUCCGUGCCAGCAGCCGCGGUAAUACGGAGGGUGCAAGCGUUAAUCGGAAUUACUGGGCGUAAAGCGCACGCAGGCGGUUUGUUAAGUCAGAUGUGAAAUCCCCGCGCUUAACGUGGGAACUGCAUUUGAAACUGGCAAGCUAGAGUCUUGUAGAGGGGGGUGAGAAUUCCAGGUGUAGCGGUGAAAUGCGUAGAGAUCUGGAGGAAUACCGGUGGCGAAGGCGGCCCCCUGGACAAAGACUGACGCUCAGGUGCGAAAGCGUGGGGAG
This 422-nucleotide ribosomal RNA is filed under the name uncultured bacterium. RNAcentral describes it as "partial 16S ribosomal RNA". It matches the Rfam family "Bacterial small subunit ribosomal RNA", at positions 355 to 768 of the family's 1533-position model. The record is from RNAcentral.